GAUUAAAAAGAAAUAACGAAAAAGGGUUAAAGGGUUAAAGGAUGUGUGGUUCGCUGUUGUUGUUGUUGUUGUUGUUGUUCUUAUUGUUAU
This 90-nucleotide non-coding RNA is filed under the name Pseudo-nitzschia australis. The record is from RNAcentral. Lineage: Eukaryota; Bacillariophyta; Bacillariophyceae; Bacillariales; Bacillariaceae.